Molecule: ribosomal RNA, 116 nt
Filed under: uncultured bacterium
Lineage: Bacteria
Description: partial 16S ribosomal RNA
Rfam family: Bacterial small subunit ribosomal RNA
Source: RNAcentral
CACCGCCCGUCACAUCACGAAAGUGGACUGUACUAGAAGUCGGUGCGCUAACCCGCAAGGGAGGCAGCCGCCCAAGGUAUAGUUCAUGAUUGGGGUGAAGUCGUAACAAGGUACCC